RNAcentral lists this ribosomal RNA (361 nucleotides) under uncultured bacterium. RNAcentral describes it as "bacterial SSU rRNA". It matches the Rfam family "Bacterial small subunit ribosomal RNA", at positions 917 to 1271 of the family's 1533-position model. The record is from RNAcentral.
GGCCUCACACAAGCGGUGGAGGAUGUGGCUUAAUUCGAGGCUACGCGAAGAACCUUACCUAGACUUAACAUGUUUGAGAAUCUCUGUGAAAGCAGAGAGUGCCUUUUCGGGGAACUCUUACGUAGGUGCUGCAUGGCUGUCGUCAGCUCGUGUCGUGAGAUGUCGGGUUUAAGUCCCUUAACGAGCGAAACCCUUAUCUUCAGUUGCCAGCGAGUAAUGUCGGGGACUCUGGAGAGACUGCCGGUGUUAAACCGGAGGAAGGUGGGGAUGACGUCAAGUCCUCAUGGCCUUUAUGUCUAGGGCUGCACACGUCCUACAAUGCAACGUACAAAGGCGACGCGAAAUCGCGAGAUCAAGCAAA